Molecule: transfer RNA, 87 nt
Filed under: Candidatus Jorgensenbacteria bacterium
Lineage: Bacteria; Candidatus Joergenseniibacteriota
Description: tRNA-Ser
Rfam family: tRNA
About the family: Transfer RNA (tRNA) molecules are approximately 80 nucleotides in length.
Source: RNAcentral
GGUGGGGUGGCCGAGUGGUUUAAGGCGAUGGUCUUGAAAACCAUUAUGCCCGAAAGGGUAUCGUGAGUUCGAAUCUCACCCCCACCG